AUAGGGGAGCCGGAGGGAAACCGAGUCUUAAYYGGGCGUUAAGUUGCAGGGUAUAGACCCGAAACCCGGUGAUCUAGCCAUGGGCAGGUUGAAGGUUGGGUAACACUAACUGGAGGACCGAACCGACUAAUGUUGAAAAAUUAGCGGAUGACCUGUGGCUGGGGGUGAAAGGCCAAUCAAACCGGGAGAUAGCUGGUUCUCCCCGAAAGCUAUUUAGGUAGCGCCUCGUGAAUUCAUCUCCGGGGGUAGAGCACUGUUUCGGCUAGGGGGCCAUCCCGGCUUACCAACCCGAUGCAAACUGCGAAUACCGGAGAAUGUUAUCACGGGAGACACACGGCGGGUGCUAACGUCCGUCGUGAAGAGGGAAACAACCCAGACCGCCAGCUAAGGUCCCAAAGUCAUGGUUAAGUGGGAAACGAUGUGGGAAGGCCCAGACAGCCAGGAUGUUGGCUUAGAAGCAGCCAUCAUUUAAAGAAAGCGUAAUAGCUCACUGGUCGAGUCGGCCUGCGCGGAAGAUGUAACGGGGCUAAACCAUGCACCGAAGCUGCGGCAGCGA
RNAcentral lists this ribosomal RNA (556 nucleotides) under Salmonella enterica subsp. enterica serovar Oranienburg str. S-76. Its description in RNAcentral is "partial 23S ribosomal RNA". Lineage: Bacteria; Pseudomonadati; Pseudomonadota; Gammaproteobacteria; Enterobacterales; Enterobacteriaceae. The record is from RNAcentral.